GAGUUUGAUCAUGGCUCAGAACGUACGCUGGCGGCACGCCUAACACAUGCAAGUCGAACGAAGUAGCAAUACUUAGUGGCAGACGGGUGAGUAACAUGUAGGUAUCUACCCUUUGGCCUGGAAUAACACGAGGAAACUUGUGCUAAUACCGGAUAAGUCUUUACGGAGAAAGCUUUAUGCACCAUUGGAUGAGCCUGCACUUGAUUAGUUUGUUGGUGGGGUAAUGGCCUACCAAGACUGUGAUCAAUAGCUGAUUUGAGAGGAUGAUCAGCCACAUUGGGACUGAGACACGGCCCAAACUCCUACGGGAGGCAGCAGUGGGGAAUCUUGCACAAUGGAGGAAACUCUGAUGCAGCGAUGCCGCGUGAGUGAAGAAGGCCCUUGGGUUGUAAAGCUCUUUCGUCGGGGAAGAAAAUGACUGUACCCGAAUAAGAAGGUCCGGCUAACUUCGUGCCAGCAGCCGCGGUAAUACGAAGGGACCUAGCGUAGUUCGGAAUUACUGGGCUUAAAGAGUUCGUAGGUGGUUGAAAAAGUUGGUGGUGAAAUCCCAGAGCUUAACUCUGGAACUGCCAUCAAAACUUUUCAGCUAGAGUAUGAUAGAGGAAAGCAGAAUUUCUAGUGUAGAGGUGAAAUUCGUAGAUAUUAGAAAGAAUACCAAUUGCGAAGGCAGCUUUCUGGAUCAUUACUGACACUGAGGAACGAAAGCAUGGGUAGCGAAGAGGAUUAGAUACCCUCGUAGUCCAUGCCGUAAACGAUGUGUGUUAGACGUUGGAAAUUUAUUUUCAGUGUCGCAGCAAAAGCGAUAAACACACCGCCUGGGGAGUACGACCGCAAGGUUAAAACUCAAAUGAAUUGACGGGGACCCGCACAAGUAGUGGAGCAUGUGGUUUAAUUCGAAGAUACGCGCAGAACCUUACCAACACUUGACAUGUUCGUCGCGACUCUAAGAGAUUAGAGUUUUCGGUUCGGCCGGACGAAACACAGGUGCUGCAUGGCUGUCGUCAGCUCGUGUCGUGAGAUGUUGGGUUAAGUCCCGCAACGAGCGCAACCCUCACUUUUAGUUGCCAUCAUUAAGUUGGGCACUCUGAAAGAACUGCCAGUGAUAAGCUGGAGGAAGGUGGGGAUGACGUCAAGUCCUCAUGGCCCUUAUGUGUUGGGCUACACACGUGCUACAAUGGCACUUACAAUGGGAAGCAAAGAGGCGACUCCUAGCUAAUCCCUAAAAUGUGUCUCAGUUCGGAUUGUACUCUGUAACUCGAGUGCAUGAAGCUGGAAUUGCUAGUAAUCGCGGAUCAGCGCGCCGCGGUGAAUACGUUCCCGGGUCUUGUACACACCGCCCGUCACACCAUGGAAGUUGGUUACACCUUAAGGCAAAGCUUAUACCUUUGACUACGGUACGAUCAGCAACUGGGGUGAAGUCGUAACAAGGUAACC
RNAcentral lists this ribosomal RNA (1434 nucleotides) under uncultured marine bacterium. RNAcentral's name for it is "partial 16S ribosomal RNA". It matches the Rfam family "Bacterial small subunit ribosomal RNA". The record is from RNAcentral.